CCUACGGGGGGCAGCAGUGGGGAAUAUUGGGCAAUGGGCGCAAGCCUGACCCAGCAACGCCGCGUGAAGGAAGAAGGCUUUCGGGUUGUAAACUUCUUUUAUAAAGGAAUAAAGUGAGGCACGUGUGCCUUUUUGUAUGUACUUUAUGAAUAAGGAUCGGCUAACUCCGUGCCAGCAGCCGCGGUAAUACGGAGGAUCCGAGCGUUAUCCGGAUUUAUUGGGUUUAAAGGGCGUGUAGGCGGGAGCGCAAGUCAGAUGUGAAAACUCAGGGCUCAACCCUGAGCCUGCAUUUGAAACUGUGUUUCUUGAGUGCUGGAGAGGCAAUCGGAAUUCCGUGUGUAGCGGUGAAAUGCGUAGAUAUACGGAGGAACACCAGUGGCGAAGGCGGAUUGCUGGACAGUAACUGACGCUGAGGCGCGAAAGCGUGGGGAGCAAACAGGAUUAGAUACCCGGGUAGUC
RNAcentral lists this ribosomal RNA (459 nucleotides) under uncultured bacterium. RNAcentral's name for it is "partial 16S ribosomal RNA". It matches the Rfam family "Bacterial small subunit ribosomal RNA", at positions 338 to 795 of the family's 1533-position model. The record is from RNAcentral.